GAAAAUCCGUCGCUUUAAAAUCGUGAGGGUUCAAGUCCCUUAUCCCCAA
RNAcentral lists this transfer RNA (49 nucleotides) under Motherwellia haplosciadea. RNAcentral describes it as "partial tRNA-Leu". The record is from RNAcentral. Lineage: Eukaryota; Viridiplantae; Streptophyta; Magnoliopsida; Apiales; Araliaceae.